UAGAAGCACUCAAUACAAGCCUUUCUUCUUCUCUCAAAAUCUUCCGACCUCUCUCAAUCUUAAACACUUCCUUCUAGCCUUUAAAGUUUCCUCCCAACAAGGGCUACCUCCGCCUAGGUCGCCAGCCGCUCCUCCCACAUCCUCGUCAACUUCGCAGAUAAGGAUUUGAAUUAUGACAAUUUCGCAGCUGGGUUAAAGGGAACUCUUCAAAAUGAUAAAUAUCUGUCUGAUAGUAUAAUAAACCUCAUGCUUGGCCCCUGGUUGGACUCACACUCUUUGCCCUAACUUACGUAAAAGCUUUUGGAUUUGAUUGGAUUCAUAUUUGGUCUGAUAGUAUAAUUAAUGACACCUCUCUAUGUUUUUAAGAAGUGGGAUGCAAGAUGCCUUUUCUGGCAUGGGGUAAGUAGAUAAGCAAUUUUUUCUA
This is a long non-coding RNA of Vigna angularis (adzuki bean), 424 nucleotides long. RefSeq lists it as uncharacterized. Lineage: Eukaryota; Viridiplantae; Streptophyta; Magnoliopsida; Fabales; Fabaceae. The transcript is spliced from 2 exons. The record is from RefSeq and is a predicted model, not a curated record.